AUUUUCUGUUGAUCAAUUUUCUUAAGUACUCCAAACACCAGAAAAUGUGAAAAAUAUUUUCCAAAAAAAUACUUUCUAUAAAACAAAUGAAACCUAAUAUUAUUUUUAAAUUGAGUACUAUUCCUAAUUAGAUUAGGUUAAGGGGCUGACACUAAUAGGAGUAUGAUGAAAGGUUAUUUAGCUUUGCUAACUGCUGAGGAGUGGCUUUUAUCCAUUGAGGAAAAUGAUACUUAUACCAUGGAGAAAGAGAGGCCUUGCCUCAAGGUUUGCAAUUUCAUAAAGGGGCAAAGGUUUUGGCCCAAAGUGAAGAAGAGCAUAGUCCAAAAUGAA
This 330-nucleotide unclassified non-coding RNA is filed under the name Hevea brasiliensis (rubber tree). The record is from RNAcentral. Lineage: Eukaryota; Viridiplantae; Streptophyta; Magnoliopsida; Malpighiales; Euphorbiaceae.